RNAcentral lists this ribosomal RNA (799 nucleotides) under uncultured Sebacinales. Its description in RNAcentral is "eukaryotic LSU rRNA". The stretch from base 191 to 799 matches the Rfam family "Eukaryotic large subunit ribosomal RNA", at positions 1 to 612 of the family's 3401-position model. The record is from RNAcentral. Lineage: Eukaryota; Fungi; Basidiomycota; Agaricomycetes; Sebacinales.
CUUUUGUCAAAGGGAUUGUGGACUUGGAUGUUGUUGUGUAACUACAACUCGUCUCAAAUGCAUGAGUGUACCCUGCAUCUGCAGCGUAUUCGGUGUGAUAAGCAUCUUCACCGGAGUCAAGCCCUCUUGGGCGCGCUUGUGAAUGUAGGCCCUGCGCUGCAAACCGUCCUUGGACAAACAACUGACAAUUUGACCUCAAAUCGGGCGGGACUACCCGCUGAACUUAAGCAUAUCAAUAAGCGGAGGAAAAGAAACUAACAAGGAUUCCCCUAGUAACGGCGAGUGAAGAGGGAAAAGCUCAAAUUUUAAAUCUGGUGUCUUCGGCGCCCGAGUUGUAAUCUAGAGAAGUGUUUUCUGUGUUGGACCGUGCAAAAGUUCCCUGGAACGGGGCGUCAUAGAGGGUGAGAAUCCCGUAUAUGGCAUGGACUCCCAAUGCUCUGUGAUACACUCUCGACGAGUCGAGUUGUUUGGGAAUGCAGCUCAAAAUGGGUGGUAAAUUCCAUCUAAAGCUAAAUAUUGGCGAGAGACCGAUAGCGAACAAGUACCGUGAGGGAAAGAUGAAAAGCACUUUGGAAAGAGAGUGAAACAGUACGUGAAAUUGUUGAAAGGGAAGCGUUUGAAGUCAGUCACGCUUGUCGGAACUCAGCCUGGCUUCUGCCUGGUGUACUUUCUGGUGAGCGGGUCAGCGUCAGUUUUGGUCGAGGGAGAAAGGCAUUGGGAAUGUGGCAGUCUUCGGGCUGUGUUAUAGCCCUUUGUUGUAUGCCUCGACUGGGAUUGAGGACUGCAGCGCGCCUUUAUG